This is a long non-coding RNA of Melanotaenia boesemani (Boeseman's rainbowfish), 480 nucleotides long. RefSeq lists it as uncharacterized. The record is from RefSeq and is a predicted model, not a curated record. The transcript is spliced from 5 exons. Lineage: Eukaryota; Metazoa; Chordata; Actinopteri; Atheriniformes; Melanotaeniidae.
GGGGUUUAAUAGAGCAUUCUUUAUUUAUUAAUUCAAUUUGUAGUAAUUUAAAUACCUGCAGGACAAUGUCCCUGGAGGACCAGGUCUGGACAGAGCGACUUGUUCAAAGCCCACAUCUCAGUCUGUUUGCAAACUGUAAUAUGCCUUAAAGAUCCAAUCAGCUCGGUUCUGUAAAGUAGUUCAGCCUGUAUAAACAGGUAUGAUCAGGUAUGAUCAGCAGGUAUGAUCAGGUGUGUUCAGCAGGUAUGAUCAGGUGUGUUCAGCAGGUAUGAUCAGGUGUGUUCAGCAGGUAUGAUCAGGUGUGUUCAGCAGGUAUGAUCAGGUGUGUUCAGCAGGUAUGAUCAGGUGUGUUCAGCAGGUAUGAUCAGCAGGUAUGAUCAGGUGUGUUCAGCAGGUAUGAUCAGGUGUGUUCAGCAGGUAUGAUCAGCAGGUAUGAUCAGGUGUGUUCAGCAGGUAUGAUCAGGUGUGUUCAGCAGGUGU